GGGAGUGGCAGACGGGUGAGUAACACGUGGGAACGUACCUUUCGGUUCGGAAUAACUCAGGGAAACUUGAGCUAAUACCGGAUACGUCCGCAAGGAGAAAGAUUUAUUGCCGAAAGAUCGGCCCGCGUCAGAUUAGCUAGUUGGUGGGGUAAUGGCCUACCAAGGCGACGAUCUGUAGCUGGUCUGAGAGGAUGAUCAGCCACACUGGGACUGAGACACGGCCCACACUCCUACGGGAGGCAGCAGUGGGGAAUAUUGGACAAUGGGCGAAAGCCUGAUCCAGCCAUGCCGCGUGAGUGAUGAAGGCCUUAGGGUUGUAAGGCUCUUUCGCCGAUGAUGAUAAUGACAGUAGUCGGAGAAGAAGCCCCGGCUAACUUCGUGCCAGCAGCCGCGGUAAUACGAAGGGGGCUAGCGUUGUUCGGAAUUACUGGGCGUAAAGCGCACGUAGGCGGACCUUUAAGUCAGGGGUGAAAUCCCGGGGCUCAACCCCGGAACUGCCUUUGAUACUGGGAGUCUCGAGUAUGGUAGAGGUGAGUGGAAUACCGAGUGUAGAGGUGGAAUUCGUAGAUAUUCGGUAGAACACCAGUGGCGAAGGCGGC
This 599-nucleotide ribosomal RNA is filed under the name uncultured bacterium. Its description in RNAcentral is "bacterial SSU rRNA". It matches the Rfam family "Bacterial small subunit ribosomal RNA", at positions 91 to 725 of the family's 1533-position model. The record is from RNAcentral.